AUAGACCUGCUAACACCUACUUCUGUGUCUGACAGGCCGGCUUUACAUGUGCUUUGAUUGACACCCUCACCCUCAUCCCCACCCUCUACUGUACCUGCCAAGCUGGGGUAUGGGCGUUGCCCCUGGAGCAGAAGCAUCUAAAGUCAUGAGGGGGCUAGAUGUUGGAGCAGCGGAUGAAGAUGAAUGAAGGGGUCAGCUUAUCCAUCAACCCCUAGCACAAUGCUUGGCAUCCAAACAGGCUCAGACAGGUUCCCAACACAAGUAAUUGAAAGCUGUGUCGGAAUGGCCGAAGGAAGACCUGUCACUCAGACAUGCUAUGACAUGGGAGGACCUUGAGGACACUGUGCUAAGUGAAAUAAGCCCUCAGAUGGUUCCAUCCAAAAACUCAGAUACCCAGAGACAGAGAGCAAGCUGGUGGCUGCCAAGGGCUGGAAGAAUUGGUGUUUAAUGAGGAUGACAAUUUGAGAAGAUGAAACCAUUUUGGAGCUGGAUGGUGAGAAAAUGCCUUUAUAAGACUGGCCUGUCGUGGUGUAAAGGUGAUGCUGCCAGGAUUGACAGCCUGGAUCUAAGCUCCGGAAUCCACAUUACAGAAGGAGAGAACUGACUUCCAAGUUAUCCUCUAACGUCGACACUCACAACAGGGCAUGUGUA
This 651-nucleotide long non-coding RNA is filed under the name Cricetulus griseus (Chinese hamster). RNAcentral's name for it is "lncRNA (ENSCGRG00000025667.1)". Lineage: Eukaryota; Metazoa; Chordata; Mammalia; Rodentia; Cricetidae. The record is from RNAcentral.